Molecule: ribosomal RNA, 460 nt
Filed under: uncultured bacterium
Lineage: Bacteria
Description: partial 16S ribosomal RNA
Rfam family: Bacterial small subunit ribosomal RNA
Source: RNAcentral
CCUACGGGAGGCAGCAGUGAGGAAUAUUGGUCAAUGGGCGCGAGCCUGAACCAGCCAAGUAGCGUGAAGGAUGACUGCCCUACGGGUUGUAAACUUCUUUUAUAAAGGAAUAAAGUGAGGCACGUGUGCCUUUUUGUACGUACUUUAUGAAUAAGGAUCGGCUAACUCCGUGCCAGCAGCCGCGGUAAUACGGAGGAUGCGAGCGUUAUCCGGAUUUAUUGGGUUUAAAGGGAGCGUAGAUGGGUUGUUAAGUCAGUUGUGAAAGUUUGCGGCUCAACCGUGGAAUUGCAAUUGAUACUGGCAGCCUUGAGUGCAGUUGAGGUAGGCGGAAUUCGUGGUGUAGCGGUGAAAUGCUUAGAUAUCACGAAGAACUCCGAUUGCGAAGGCAGCCUACUAAGCUGCCACUGACGUUGAGGCACGAAAGCGUGGGUAUCAAACAGGAUUAGAUACCCCGGUAGUC